GCUCAACCGGGGAGGGUCAUUGGAAACUGGGGAACUUGAGUGCAGAAGAGGAGAGUGGAAUUCCACGUGUAGCGGUGAAAUGCGUAGAGAUGUGGAGGAACACCAGUGGCGAAGGCGACUCUCUGGUCUGUAACUGACGCUGAGGCGCGAAAGCGUGGGGAGCGAACAGGAUUAGAUACCCUGGUAGUCCACGCCGUAAACGAUGAGUGCUAAGUGUUAGAGGGUUUCCGCCCUUUAGUGCUGCAGCAAACGCAUUAAGCACUCCGCCUGGGGAGUACGGUCGCAAGACUGAAACUCAAAGGAAUUGACGGGGGCCCGCACAAGCGGUGGAGCAUGUGGUUUAUUUCGAAGCAACGCGAAGAACCUUACCAGGUCUUGACAUCCUCUGACAACCCUAGAGAUAGGGCUUCCCCUUCGGGGGCAGAGUGACAGGUGGUGCAUGGUUGUCGUCAGCUCGUGUCGUGAGAUGUUGGGUUAAGUCCCGCAACGAGCGCAACCCUUGAUCUUAGUUGCCAGCAUUCAGUUGGGCACUCUAAGGUGACUGCCGGUGACAAACCGGAGGAAGGUGGGGAUGACGUCAAAUCAUCAUGCCCCUUAUGACCUGGGCUACACACGUGCUACAAUGGGCAGAACAAAG
This 637-nucleotide ribosomal RNA is filed under the name uncultured bacterium. RNAcentral describes it as "bacterial SSU rRNA". It matches the Rfam family "Bacterial small subunit ribosomal RNA", at positions 607 to 1244 of the family's 1533-position model. The record is from RNAcentral.